AGAUAUGAAAUUGAGGAAUGCACAUCUUCACAACCAUCGAUGCAAUACGUCAUGAAAAUGACGUAUGAAGGAUGUAGCGGGUCUCCGCCGGGGGCUUGCAAUGAUCGUCAUGUAUAGUCGUGUAUUAUGUG
RNAcentral lists this unclassified non-coding RNA (131 nucleotides) under uncultured marine crenarchaeote. Its description in RNAcentral is "16S-23S intergenic spacer region". Lineage: Archaea; Thermoproteati; Thermoproteota. The record is from RNAcentral.